AAGACCUCUAAGGCAAAAGAGUGAGGAGCAAAUAUUUUUCAAGUCUUAACUGAGGAAUCCAUUGUGUGCUGAAAACAAUGCAAAUCUCUGAAGAUAAAAAAAAGAGAGAGAGAAUGACACAGCUUCUGUACUCAAUGAGAGAAAGGAUUACAAGGUGUGAUGAGAGUUCCUGACUAACUCAACUAGAGAAGAAAGGAGGUUGGGGAGGCCACCUCAGCGGCAAUGAUAAUUGCCCUGAGUUUCUAAAGCAGAGUUAUUAUGAGGGGGAGAAUGGUGAUAUGAUUAAAGACAAGAGUCCUAUCCUGAGAAGUUCAUAGCUAAAAAUAAAGAGGGUGCCAGGUGUGAAUUCAGAAGUUUGGACCUAUUGGUAACAUGACUUGUAGAUACGCUUGCUAUAAAGGCACACAGAAUAAGAUCAGAAGAAUGAUGUGUAGAGAUGGUUGUGGAAGACAGAAGCAGAAGGUCAACAGGCAAUUGGCAAGACACCAGAAAGAAAUCUAAAAGGCAUACACUUAGUUCAGAAUUAUAGCACAUCUGGGAAUAAAAAAAAAAGAAAACAUGGUGAUGUCUCAAAACUGAUAUCAAAAUAAAUCUCAUUAACUGAAGAAAAUAACUUGAUCUUAAAUCUGUUUGCUAACUAUGAUUUUCAACAAAAGACUUCUCAGGAAGUAAUUUUACUCAGAUCCUUAUAGGUUGAAAGAAUUAAAAAUAGAAACUUUUCCUUCUGUUAAUGCCAUUAGCUGACAGCUAAUGAGAUUGAAG
This 762-nucleotide long non-coding RNA is filed under the name Homo sapiens (human). RNAcentral describes it as "HSALNT0367595". Lineage: Eukaryota; Metazoa; Chordata; Mammalia; Primates; Hominidae. The record is from RNAcentral.